AAGGAGUCUAACAUGCUUGCGAGUAUUUGGGUGUCAAACCCGGAUGCGUAAUGAAAGUGAAUGGAGGUGGGAAGCGCAAGCUGCACCAUCGACCGAUCUGGAUUUUCUAAGAUGGAUUUGAGUAAGAGCACGUAUGUUGGGACCCGAAAGAUGGUGAACUAUGCCUGAAUAGGGCGAAGCCAGAGGAAACUCUGGUGGAGGCUCGUAGCGGUUCUGACGUGCAAAUCGAUCGUCAAACUUGGGUAUAGGGGCGAAAGACUAAUCGAACCAUCUAGUAGCUGGUUCCUGC
RNAcentral lists this unclassified non-coding RNA (289 nucleotides) under uncultured fungus. RNAcentral's name for it is "partial contains 5.8S rRNA, ITS2 and 28S rRNA". It matches the Rfam family "Eukaryotic large subunit ribosomal RNA", at positions 668 to 961 of the family's 3401-position model. The record is from RNAcentral. Lineage: Eukaryota; Fungi.